CCACACCACAAUUAAGGAUAGCACGAUAUUAUCAACCGAUCACUGAUAUUUUAUUUCGCUGGCAGAUCAAAAUUCCAAUGAUCAACGAAAGAUCAACGACUUUGCCGAAUGACUGCGGCCAGGCCAGAGCCAGGCUGUCCUUAUAAGUUACAUUGUCGCCUCAUAAGAAUUUCAACGGCGCUUUUUACGCACUCGCAUUAACUGAUUAAUGUUGAUGGUGUAGUUUAUGAGAAUUACAAUUCAACGUAAAACAAAAGAUUUUAUCAUCCAUCCACACUGAUCCGUACAGCAGAAAGAAUCGAGGUGUAGACGAAGAUUAUGCUGCAGAUUCUACAACGACUAACUCAUCAACAUGCGAUGUUUAUUGGUAAUAAAUUAGCACGAUGAAAUGUAUGUGUGAGUCAUUAACAUUAAUCCAUACGAAUUAAGAGUAAUAAUUAUUUGCGACAAAUAAUCUGAUUUCUAUCAUCGCAACGCUUGUUAUUGUCACAUCGUUUUUGUUGGGACAGGAUUAAUCACAUGAGAUUAUAAUAAAAAGGAGCAAAUAGGAUGAUUCAAUAUAUAGUCUCAAACUUGAGACAAUAUAAUAUUUAUUUUAUAAUAAUAUGGAGUUUUCAUCAACAAUAACAGUGUAGUAGUAGGCGUAACAAGAGAGACGAGGUAGGUCACAAGGAACCUAACCUGAUGAGCAUACGCCAACAAGUCCAAAUUAAUUUGUAAUCGAAAUUUGAAAACAAUAGAAUUCCAUGUGCAACCCCUCAUAUUGUACAUACGUACUACUCCGUCAAAUGAUUCAUUUGAAUCGAAUGAAAUAAUUUGGCAACUGAUUUAAUUCCCCCUCUGGCCCCCCACCACUCCAGAUAAUCAAAAACCGGAUAGAAUCAAGUUUGGUUCGAAAAUUGUAAAUUAAUUUCAAUUCACUAGACACCGUAAGAAGGCAAAGACUUGCUAGCGCACGACAAAGUCAGCCGGGAGACCAACCUUUGAUUCAGAAUAAUUUUUAAGCCAACUAUUUACCACGAGGAACAGAGAAGGGUUUUUUUCAAAAUCGGUGCGAAGUUGUUCUUCGUCUUUCACCUGAUUUAAAAAGGAUAGAAGAUUAGCGACGUAUGUAGCUAAAUCACAGAUUGAUCCCACCUGCUUAAGUAUAUUACAGCUAAGAUUAGUUUAGUAAGUCUAUGUUUGAUUUCCUUAGGCUCGGGUGACUCUAGACUGGCCCCCUAUUAUUUGUAUUUUGAUCACUCUUUAAUAAAUUGCAAUAUCAAUUGUUAAUUCCUCAUCUACUGUAAGAAUUCAAUUUUCGAGUUCGACAGUGCAGUAGUAUAUCAACAAUAUUAUUCUUAUCAUCAUUACUAAUAAUACUAUUAUUAUUAUUGUUAUCGUUAUCAUUAUCGUUAUCGUUACUAAUAUAUUUGUUUAAUUUUUAUUUAUUUCGAUUUAGUUUUUUUUUCAAUUAUUCUAACUGCUUUUUUUCUUCUAUGUAUCUAUACAUAUAUUUAAAAUUUGCUGCUUUUCAGAUUUUGGUUGUUGGGAAAAGUGUGACCGUUCUAAUUUUUUUUAUCCCAGCGCAGAUAUGGAAACGACUCAAAAAUAAUAAAGUAGUGCAGACAA
Molecule: long non-coding RNA, 1611 nt
Organism: Athalia rosae (coleseed sawfly)
Lineage: Eukaryota; Metazoa; Arthropoda; Insecta; Hymenoptera; Athaliidae
Exons: 2
Source: RefSeq, a predicted model, not a curated record